Molecule: long non-coding RNA, 944 nt
Organism: Anguilla rostrata (American eel)
Lineage: Eukaryota; Metazoa; Chordata; Actinopteri; Anguilliformes; Anguillidae
Exons: 3
Source: RefSeq, a predicted model, not a curated record
GCGCGUGCGCACACACACACACGCAUACACACACGCGCGCGCGCGCGAGAGCGCAUACAUUACACAGACUCACACAUGCGCAUGCACACACACACGCACACACGCAUAUGCACGCAAACAAACACACACAUACACACUCGCGCUUGCACACACACACGCACACACACACCUCCCUUAAACCCUCACCAAUUUAUGCAAACCCCCUCCUGCUCCUUUCACCCAUGAUGAGGUCUGAACUCUGGGCUGGGAAUGGAAGAGCAUUCUAAAGGACACACAUACGAGUUCACACACACAUAUUCACAUGCACAAACACAGCUACACACAAAAGCCCCUGUACAAAGGCCCUGCCAAACGGAUAUGAUAGCUAUUGUAGUCAGCAUGCAUAUUAAAGAUUGUUAAAUGCCACAUGUUGAAAUAAGCGUGACUGUUUUAAUGACAGGACUGACAGUCUGUUGGCGUAUCAGAGAUCGGGCGAAUGUUUUCAUCUGCAGUAGCCGGCUACAGACCAGUCUGUGAUUGCAUGAUUUUUUUUUUCAUCCACAGAACCGACUGACUGCUGAUUGGUCUGGGAUCACGCAAUCCCCUGUCUGCAUACGGGAAGUCCUCGAGGGGGGGGGGGUGCUGCUCCAUUAUUAACAACAGGCACAAUAAAUAAAACAACACAGGGAUUUUCAGCGCUCUGAUGUGGUGAAGGAAAACAUCCGGCCUGUCCCCUCCCUACCCAACACACACCUUCAACCUCACUCAGAGGUCACUGAGUCCAAGACAGUGGAAAUGGGCUGGUUGCAGAUACAUAUUUCCCACGAGGCUAUGCAGAAACAGCAUGAAGGACAGCUACAGAAGCUGAACUCAAGUAAUGCAACUUGGAAAAAAAAAAGAUGGAACGAUGCAGAACAAGUCAGCACGAGCAUGAGAUGUCAAAUCCAGGACAGUGCUCAAUGAAC